GACGAACGCUGGCGGCGUGCUUAACACAUGCAAGUCGAACGGAAAGGCCCUGCUUUUGUGGGGUGCUCGAGUGGCGAACGGGUGAGUAACACGUGAGUAACCUGCCCUUGACUUUGGGAUAACUUCAGGAAACUGGGGCUAAUACCGGAUAGGAGCUCCUGCUGCAUGGUGGGGGUUGGAAAGUUUCUGCGGUUGGGGAUGGACUCGCGGCUUAUCAGCUUGUUGGUGGGGUAGUGGCUUACCAAGGCUUUGACGGGUAGCCGGCCUGAGAGGGUGACCGGCCACAUUGGGACUGAGAUACGGCCCAGACUCCUACGGGAGGCAGCAGUGGGGAAUAUGGCACAAUGGGCGGAAGCCUGAUGCAGCAACGCCGCGUGCGGGAUGACGGCCUUCGGGUUGUAAACCGCUGUCGCCUGUGACGAAGCGGGAGUGACGGUAAUGGGUAAAGAAGCACCGGCUAACUACGUG
RNAcentral lists this ribosomal RNA (468 nucleotides) under uncultured bacterium. RNAcentral's name for it is "partial 16S ribosomal RNA". It matches the Rfam family "Bacterial small subunit ribosomal RNA", at positions 28 to 507 of the family's 1533-position model. The record is from RNAcentral.